AAAAAGACAAACACUGCGUUUACAUGUCUAACGUUUGACUUUCUGUCUUAUAUAAAAUUAUUUUAUAAUUAGUAUUUUUAUUAUUGUUAGAUGAUAAAACAUGAUUAAUAAUUUAUGUGUGACUUAUUUUUUUAAUUUUUUUUCAUAUUUUUUUCAAAUAAGAUGGAACGUUGGAUACGGAAACCUAGAUUUGUCUUUUUU
RNAcentral lists this microRNA precursor (201 nucleotides) under Oryza glumipatula. RNAcentral describes it as "MIR812 microRNA precursor family". It matches the Rfam family "MIR812 microRNA precursor family". Lineage: Eukaryota; Viridiplantae; Streptophyta; Magnoliopsida; Poales; Poaceae. The record is from Rfam by way of RNAcentral.